Molecule: ribosomal RNA, 481 nt
Filed under: uncultured bacterium
Lineage: Bacteria
Description: bacterial SSU rRNA
Rfam family: Bacterial small subunit ribosomal RNA
Source: RNAcentral
ACGGGAGGCAGCAGUGAGGAAUAUUGGUCAAUGGCCGAGAGGCUGAACCAGCCAAGUCGCGUGAAGGAAGAAGGAUCUAUGGUUUGUAAACUUCUUUUAUAGGGGAAUAAAGUGGAGGACGUGUCCUUUUUUGUAUGUACCCUAUGAAUAAGCAUCGGCUAACUCCGUGCCAGCAGCCGCGGUAAUACGUAGGUGGCAAGCGUUGUCCGGAUUUACUGGGUAUAAAGGGCGUGCAGCCGGGCCGGCAAGUCAGAUGUGAAAUCUGGAGGCUUAACCUCCAAACUGCAUUUGAAACUGUAGGUCUUGAGUACCGGAGAGGUUAUCGGAAUUCCUUGUGUAGCGGUGAAAUGCGUAGAUAUAAGGAAGAACACCAGUGGCGAAGGCGGAUAACUGGACGGCAACUGACGGUGAGGCGCGAAAGCGUGGGGAGCAAACAGGAUUAGAUACCCUGGUAGUCCACGCUGUAAACGAUGGAUACUAG